This is a long non-coding RNA of Betta splendens (Siamese fighting fish), 1814 nucleotides long. RefSeq lists it as uncharacterized. The record is from RefSeq and is a predicted model, not a curated record. NCBI's taxonomy places the organism in Eukaryota, Metazoa, Chordata, Actinopteri, Anabantiformes, Osphronemidae. The transcript is spliced from 3 exons.
CAGCUUUUAUCAAACUAAUAACAGUCGUUAUCGGUCUCCAACAAACCAAGCUUCUUCAGUCCACAAACGGUUCAAUUCAAAUAUUUCAGACGCUGUUUUCCAGUGAUAUGUUCUGGGUUUAAUGGGCAACAGUUGCACCUGUUGAUGAUUUGAAAAUGGACAAAGAAUUAAUUCCAGGCCUUCAAACCUUCCCAGCUUUGAAGCUGUGCGGGAAAUGGCUGCACCCACGGGACAGAAGGUUUCGGGCUGGGGCCGUUCUCAUGGACCUCCACCUGCACAACCGUGAGCUGGGUGAACUGCGCCGGCCUCCAUCUGCUCAACAGUCGGCCGCUGGAAGGCUGCGCGUUUGGCCCGUCUUCCCCGACUGAAGAUCCGCCAGACCGCACUGUCUCCAGACCAAUCAGAUGCUUGGAUGCGAAGCUCAUCCCACAGGAGGAAAUGCUUCUGACAACUGCAGAGCCCGGAGGAAGAAACAGGAAACCGCGUGGCUGCACAGAAGCCGAGCGCAGCUGAUGCCUCUCUGUUCAGGAGCAAUAAUGGGACCAGUGGCAAGACACGACUUGUGAAUGUGCAGAGGUGGAGGCGAAUGACGACCGUGAGGCCGGAGCGUGGAUCGACCAUCACACGUCACACUGUGCUCUGAGACUGGGAAGAAUUACUUAUUAAUAACGGUGGGGGAGGUUUUCAUGUUUGGCUCCGUGGAAACUGACAUGGAUUAAUAAAAUGCUCCUAAUAAAAAGGGGUGAGGCUUUAGGUCGACAUUUCUGUCUGUCCUGCAGUUUGUGGUGGAGUCAGAACUGCAGUCAGUUUCUUCAUAUAAGUUUUGUGAUAGUAAAAUAAUCUAUUUGUUGCCUUAUAGUGAAACUGUAGUGUGUGUGUGUGUGUGUGUGUGUGUGUGUGUGCGCGUGCGUGUGAUGAGUCUCCACUGUUUUAUUCUUCAAUCUGUCAUUCAAUCUCUGCUAAUACACGGUUUCAUCCGUUUCCAAAGUACGAUCGUCAAUUUGUUUUCACGCCGAGCGGUUUUGUGAGACACGUGUCGGCUAAUCCCCGUCUCGUAAGCAGUAGCUGCCUCCUCACCUUAUAUGUACAUGCAUCUCAGAAACCUCCAAACAGGAUCAGAGCGUGUUGGUGGUUCUUGUUGCAGCCUCUCGGUGACUUUUAAUGCUCGAUUUAACUCUUACAUCAUUAGCUGGAGCCAGACAGAGUUUAAAAGUUGAAAUUGAGCAAUCUCGACAUGCACCGUAUUUCAUUAAUGUGACAAGUUGACAAAGCGCCAGCGGGCAUGUGCUCGGCUGACGAGCGCCACUCGUUACAUUCCAGCUGCAUCAAUUAACCGCGCCUGCAUCGCGGCGUGUGACACGCGAAGGGCCGCGGACGCUCCCCGAGCGCAGCCUCCAGUCGGGAAACGAACGCCCGGCCGACACGGCCCGACACGCUGCUUUGGACCGGGUUCAAUGGGAAAAAAACACGGGAAGUGAAGCAAAAUCAUCAUUUACAGCCUGACAGCUGCAGCGAGGCUUAAACCACAGACAAGUUGGGCAACGGUCACGUCCUCGGCGCUGAGCUCCCACCGACGACACAGGACGAGCAGCGGAGCCCGACGGUCGCUGAGCACCAGGCGUAAAAACACGUCGCAUCUGAGCGGGACGUUAUUGUGCACAGACAUGAAAAUGGCUCCGAGCCACAAACACUCACUGACACUGGGAAAGACUCAAGCUUGGUGUGACUGAGCAUAAUCAGCUGAAAUGCCUCCAUUUCCUCCCACUUCUCUGAAUCCGGGCCACGAUAGGACCGGUUUCGCAGGUGGACCCAGA